GUGGGUAACCUGCCUGUAAGACUGGGAUAACUCCGGGAAACCGGAGCUAAUACCGGAUAGUUCCUUGAACCGCAUGGUUCAAGGAUGAAAGACGGUUUCGGCUGUCACUUACAGAUGGACCCGCGGCGCAUUAGCUAGUUGGUGAGGUAACGGCUCACCAAGGCGACGAUGCGUAGCCGACCUGAGAGGGUGAUCGGCCACACUGGGACUGAGACACGGCCCAGACUCCUACGGGAGGCAGCAGUAGGGAAUCUUCCGCAAUGGACGAAAGUCUGACGGAGCAACGCCGCGUGAGUGAUGAAGGUUUUCGGAUCGUAAAGCUCUGUUGUUAGGGAAGAACAAGUGCAAGAGUAACUGCUUGCACCUUGACGGUACCUAACCAGAAAGCCACGGCUAACUACGUGCCAGCAGCCGCGGUAAUACGUAGGUGGCAAGCGUUGUCCGGAAUUAUUGGGCGUAAAGGGCUCGCAGGCGGUUUCUUAAGUCUGAUGUGAAAGCCCCCGGCUCAACCGGGGAGGGUCAUUGGAAACUGGGAAACUUGAGUGCAGAAGAGGAGAGUGGAAUUCCACGUGUAGCGGUGAAAUGCGUAGAGAUGUGGAGGAACACCAGUGGCGAAGGCGACUCUCUGGUCUGUAACUGACGCUGAGGAGCGAAAGCGUGGGGAGCGAACAGGAUUAGAUACCCUGGUAGUCCACGCCGUAAACGAU
Molecule: ribosomal RNA, 707 nt
Filed under: Bacillus pumilus
Lineage: Bacteria; Bacillati; Bacillota; Bacilli; Caryophanales; Bacillaceae
Description: bacterial SSU rRNA
Rfam family: Bacterial small subunit ribosomal RNA
Source: RNAcentral